AUCCUACGGGACGCAGCAGUGAGGAAUAUUGGUCAAUGGGCUUACGCCUGAACCAGCCAAGUCGCGUGAGGGAAGACUGCCCUAUGGGUUGUAAACCUCUUUUGUCAGGGAGCAACGCCGGCUACGUGUAGCCGGACUGAGAGUACCUGAAGAAAAAGCAUCGGCUAACUCCGUGCCAGCAGCCGCGGUAAUACGGAGGAUGCGAGCGUUAUCCGGAUUUAUUGGGUUUAAAGGGUGCGUAGGCGGAAUGCCAAGUCGGCGGUAAAAUACGGGGGCUCAACCUCCGCCCGCCGUUGAAACUGACG
Molecule: ribosomal RNA, 305 nt
Filed under: uncultured bacterium
Lineage: Bacteria
Description: bacterial SSU rRNA
Rfam family: Bacterial small subunit ribosomal RNA
Source: RNAcentral